RNAcentral lists this ribosomal RNA (462 nucleotides) under uncultured bacterium. Its description in RNAcentral is "SSU rRNA". It matches the Rfam family "Bacterial small subunit ribosomal RNA", at positions 26 to 518 of the family's 1533-position model. The record is from RNAcentral.
AGAAUCAACGCUGGCGGCGUGCCUAACACAUGCAAGUCGCACGAGAAAGGGGAGCAAUCCCUGAGUAAAGUGGCGCACGGGUGAGUAACACGUGAAUAAUCUACCUCCGAGUGGGGAAUAACUGAGAGAAAUCUUAGCUAAUACCGCAUAACACUUACGAGUCAAAGCAGCAAUGCGCUUGGAGAGGAGUUCGCGGCCGAUUAGUUAGUUGGCGGGGUAAUGGCCCACCAAGACGAUGAUCGGUAUCCGGCCUGAGAGGGCGCACGGACACACUGGAACUGAAACACGGUCCAGACUCCUACGGGAGGCAGCAGUGGGGAAUUUUGCGCAAUGGGGGAAACCCUGACGCAGCAACGCCGCGUGGAGGAUGAAGCCCCUUGGGGUGUAAACUCCGUUUCGAUUCGGGAAGAUAAUGACGGUACCGAUAUAAGAAGCCCCGGCUAACUUCGCGCCAGCAGCCGC